UACGUAGGGCGCAAGCGUUGUCCGGAAUUAUUGGGCGUAAAGAGCUCGUAGGCGGUCUGUUACGUCCGCUGUGAAAACCCGGGGCUUAACCCCGGGCUUGCAGUGGAUACGGGUAGACUAGAGGCAGGUAGGGGAGAAUGGAAUUCCCGGUGUAGCGGUGAAAUGCGCAGAUAUCGGGAGGAACACCGGUGGCGAAGGCGGUUCUCUGGGCCAUUACUGACGCUGAGGAGCGAAAGCGUGGGGAGCGAACAGG
Molecule: ribosomal RNA, 253 nt
Filed under: uncultured bacterium
Lineage: Bacteria
Description: partial 16S ribosomal RNA
Rfam family: Bacterial small subunit ribosomal RNA
Source: RNAcentral